AUUCCAGCUCCAAGAGCGUAUAUUAAAGUUGCUGCGGUUAAAAAGCUCGUAGUUGGAUUUCAGUCUAGGAAGGUUAACUCGCCGAAAGGUUGUACGUUGAUUUUCCUCAGACUUCGUCAGAAGCUCGUGCUGCACUUAACUGUGUGGUACGAUGUUCUGACCUUUUACCUUGAGGAAAGUAGAGUGUUUCAGGCAGGCUACCCAGCUUGAAUACAUUAGCAUGGAAUAAUGAAAUGGAUCUCGGUUCGAUUUCGUUGGUUCUAGAGCUGAGGUGAUGAUCAAUAGGAACAGGCGAAGGUAUUCGUACUUGAGAGUGAGGAGUGAAAUCCGAUGAUCUCUUAAAGACGAUCCGAGGCGAAAGCAUUUGUCAAGGAUGUUUUCAUCG
This 385-nucleotide ribosomal RNA is filed under the name Eukaryota sp. RNAcentral's name for it is "partial small subunit ribosomal RNA". It matches the Rfam family "Eukaryotic small subunit ribosomal RNA", at positions 582 to 975 of the family's 1831-position model. The record is from RNAcentral.